Molecule: ribosomal RNA, 590 nt
Filed under: uncultured Actinomyces sp.
Lineage: Bacteria; Bacillati; Actinomycetota; Actinomycetes; Actinomycetales; Actinomycetaceae
Description: bacterial SSU rRNA
Rfam family: Bacterial small subunit ribosomal RNA
Source: RNAcentral
GACGAACGCUGGCGGCGUGCUUAACACAUGCAAGUCGAACGCUGAAGGCCCAGCUUGCUGGGUUGGAUGAGUGGCGAACGGGUGAGUAACACGUGAGUAACCUGCCCCCUUCUUUGGGAUAACGGUCGGAAACGGCUGCUAAUACCGGGUAUUCACUGUCCUUCGCAUGGGGGGUGGUGGAAAGGUUUUUUCUGGUGGGGGAUGGGCUCGCGGCCUAUCAGCUUGUUGGUGGGGUGAUGGCUUACCAAGGCUUUGACGGGUAACCGGCCUGAGAGGGUGACCGGUCACAUUGGGACUGAGAUACGGCCCAGACUCCUACGGGAGGCAGCAGUGGGGAAUAUUGCACAAUGGGCGAAAGCCUGAUGCAGCGACGCCGCGUGAGGGAUGGAGGCCUUCGGGUUGUAAACCUCUUUCGCUCAUGGUCAAGCCGCAACUUGGGUUGUGGUGAGGGUAGUGGGUAAAGAAGCACCGGCUAACUACGUGCCAGCAGCCCGCGGUAAUACGUAAGGUGCGAGCGUUGUCCGGAAUUAUUGGGUGUAAAGGGACUUGGAGGCGGUUUUCCCGUCUGCCUUGAAAUUCCUCCGGCUUAA